CCCGCCGGCGGGAGCUGCAAAGGGGCUCCAGAGCGGCCCCAACUCCCUCCAGUGCAACAGCAGUUUGAAGGGGGGGGGGGAAAGCCGUGAGGGGCAGGAGCGAGGAGAAGUGAUGGGGAAGCACUGCAAUGGGGGAGCGUGGUCCAGGCAACAGGAGAAAGAUGCAACCUCAAGUCGAAUGCAACAUGCAAUCCCCGGCCGCCGCUCGCCCGCUCCCUCCCCUCGCCACCCCGCCCCCUUUCCAAAUAACUACCCUUGAACCACUUUAUUAGCAGUACUUAGUCCAGCACUCGCUCCCGGGAGGGGCGGGGGACGGGGGCCUUCGCUCACCUUUAUUUAUUGCUGCUUUCUCCCCCCUCUCCAUGUUUUUUAUUCCUAAGUUCUUUUGUUCUAAGGGGGAUGAUGGCAUUUACUUUUCUGCUUUGUGUAGCAGGGCAAUCACUGGGAAUCGGCCACGUAUAAUCCGGCGGUUUGUCAUAUUUUAUUAGUGAAAGUAUUUUAUGCCUAUUCUACCUCCAAGGACUGUAACAUGGAGAAUUGCAGGGAGGAGAAAAACAUCAGAAGAAUUCUUGUUUUGAGAGAUUUCUUGGCGGGGCGGGGGAGGGCCUUUUUUUUUUUUUUUGGAGGGGGUUUAUUUAGAUUUUCGAAUCGAUAGUUUUCAACUUGAAGCUUAACGUUUUUGUAUGGAUGUAUUACCGGAUUCUAAACCCCCAACCACAAUAAAUUUUUUAAAAGUAAAAAAUCUUAGAUUAAAAAAAACCCCUACUGGACAGUGAUAUUAUCUGAUCUGUGCAGCACUCUGGACUUAACAUAGUGUUGGCCUUCGAAUGUUAAAUAACAAUAAACCCCAACCUCAACUGAAUACAAAUGGGGGGGUGGGGGGUUUUGUUUUUAAAGCUCAGCACUUUUGUAGCAACUGCCACUACGCAUUUUCCAGGCAUUGAUUAGCCAUGCAACUCCCAUAGGCAUGAAAUCCAGUUUUUGCAGAUAAAGAGCAACAGUGGUGAGAUGAUUUGCCCAAAGUCAAAGUGAGUCAUUCGCAGAACCAGAAAUAGCCUUGGACUUUACUAGUCACAUCUUUUCCAUUAAAUAAUAUUUCUAUUACCUUGUUAUGUAUUUUCACAAGAGGUGCUUUGAGAUCAUUGGAUAUGAAGGUAUUUUUUUACUUUCGUGACCUGCAAAAUUAAGUUUAGUUUCUCAAGAAAAAGCAAUUUUUAAAAAUUCUGAUUUCUUAAAAAAUAAAAUAUGGACUUUAUGGUACAUGUGUAGGCCAUUUAGUAGUCUGAGCUUUAUGUUAAAAAAAAUUCACAGCAGCGAAAGUGUAAGAGUUUGAGAGUGAAAAUGAAAAUUCCUAUAAAUGAUUCAAGAAGCCUAGAUGAACUCAUAAUGUUGUGAAACUAAACCCAUAACGCAGUCAAGAUGAAUAACGGGAGGACAGGUUGGGUAGUAAGACCCAGCUUUACCAUCUAGAGCUAACUGUAAUGUAUUUAAAAUGAGGGAGGGGGUCUUUCAAGCUGGACCCACUGGCCAGUCACUGGAACUAUAACCUAAUGGUGUGAUUUCAAAUCAUCCCAGGCUAUCAACCUUUUUUCAUAGGAAGACUGCUUUGGUGUUCUUUCUGGAAAAAGAAGGUAAAAUUUUUUUUGGAAUUUCAUAGAAAAAAAUCCAGAACCUCUAAUUGUAUCAUGCUAUAGAACUGGGGUUAGCAAACUUUUUCUGUAAAAGCCCAGAUAGUAAAUAUCGUAGAUUUUGCAUCCCAUACAGUCCCUGUCACAACUUCUCCACUCUAUGCUGUUAUAACCCAAAAGCAUCUAUACGACAACAUGUAAAUGAAUGAAUCUGGCUAUGUUCUAAUACAAUUUGUAUUUAUAGGCCUUGACAUUUGGAUUUAAUGUACUUUUCACAUGUCUUGAAAUAUUCUUUUGAUUUUUUUCAGUCAUUAAGAAAAAUUUUUUAAAAAGCACCACAUUCCCAGUUUGGGGACUUCACAAAACCAGGCAGUGAGCUGGAUGGGGCCCACGGGCUGUCAUUUACCAAUCCUUGCUAUAAAAAAAGACUUAAGGUGGACUAACCACUGAACUUGUACCAAAGGGUGCUUGGUUAUUAAGAUGUGUGGUAGCAACCAAAAAUCAAUGUUAUGCAAAGUCAUUGUCUAGAUAUUUAAUUAAAAUAUUUUUAGCUGAAUAUAAGAGUGUCUAACACUCCUGUAACUACCAAACUUAAUGGAAAAAAAAUACUCUGGAAGUAUUGCUCCUUCAACUAAGGCACUUUGGGGCAGGCUGCUUAAUCUCUGUUAACAGCCUCAGUUUUCCUAUCUUGUAAAUUGCAGCUUAGAAUACCUACUUCCAGCCCCGGGCAAGGUGUUGCAUGCCUGUAAUCCCAGCACUUCGGGAGACCGAGGCUGGCGGAUCCCUUGAGCUCAGGUGUUCAAGACCAGCCUGGUCAACAUGGUGAAACCCUAUCUCUACAAAAUGUGCAAAAAUUAGCUGGGCAUGGUGCCACGCACCUGUAGUCCCUGCUACUCUGGAGACUGAUGUGGGAGGAUCACUUGAGCCCAAGGGGUUGAGGCUGCAGUAAGCUGAGAUUGCUCCACUGCACUCCAGCUGGGUGACAGAGUGAGGCCCUGUCUCAAAAACAACAACAAAAACCCUACUAAGUAGGGCUCUCGAGAAGACUGAAUAAAAUAAUUCAUGUAACGUGCUUAGCACAGUCCUGGCACAUAGAACUGUAUAAUGCAUUUUCACUGUGCCCUUAAAUUCAUUUUCUUAGUUAACAUAACUCAAGAAGGUGAACAGGUGGCAUCCCAGUAUUUUGAUGGUGCAGAUGUGCAUGUGGGAUUCAGGGACUCUCGUGUUGAUUGAAGAUUGUGAGGUUGGCAUUAUAAGCUUUGGUGGGUCUUUCUCAAGCUCUCAGCAUCUCUGUGUGCUUGACACAGGCACUCUGUGGGCACACACUAGCUCUGUGGCCUUAUACAAAAUACCUAGGCUUUCUGAACCCUGGUGUUCCUUAAACAUAAAGAUAAUACCUUGUGAGAUUGUUGUAAGGGCUAAAUGGCUUAAGUGUUAAAGGAAAAAAGAUAACAAUUAGUAUGUUAGCAGAAAUUCCAGAAAUAAGCUAGAAAUUGAAAGUUUACUGUCAAAAGCUGCUUUGAGACAUUCAACUUUUAGACAUGAAUGACAUAAUCAUAGCAGGUGCACAAUAACUUAAAAUUUGCUCUCCUGCCACCUAGUUACCCUUCCAACCCAUUUAAUUGCCAUCAAAACCCUGUUGAACAGUCCAGGCGCAGUGGCUCAGGCCUAUAAUCCUAGUACUUUGGGAGACAGAGGCAGGAAGAUCACCUGAGGUCAGGAAUUCAACACCAGUCUGGGCAACAUAGCAAGACCCCAUCCAAGCUACUAGUGGGGAGCUGAGGUGGGAGGAUCACUUGAACCAAAGUGUUAAAGGCUACUGCAGUGAGCCACAAUUGGACCACUGCACUCCAGCCUGGACAACAGAACGAGACCCUGCCUCAAAACGAAAAAACAAAAACUGCUGAACAAAGGUUAAAACCCAAAUCUUGAAUGUUAUUAAAUAUCAAAUGUGCAGUUUUAAAUUUUUGUAAAAGUACUCAAAUUAGUAUUUUCUUACAUAUUCCUGCCUCCUGUUCUAUGCUUCAAGAAGUUAUCCAAACUCCAAGAUUAGAAAACUACUUACAAUUUUCUUCUUGUAUUUUUAUGGUUUCUAUUUUUUCCAUUUACUUUGCUACAUUUAUCUUUAAAAUUUUUUUUGGUGCGAGAUAUGAGGUAGGAAUCUAAAUAACUUUUGUUCAAUAAAAAGUAUUUAAUUAGGCCGGGCGCGGUGGCUCACGCCUGUAAUCCUAGCACUUGGAGGCUGAGGCGGGCAAAUUGCCUGAGCUUGGGAGUUCAAGACCAGCCUGGGCAACAUGGUGAAACCCCAUCUCUACUAAAAUACAAAAAAUUAGUCGGGUGUAGCAGCAGGCACCUGUGGUCCCAACUACUCGGGAGGCUGAGGCAAGAAAAUCGCUGGAACCCAGGAGGCAGAAGUUGCAGUGAGCUGAGAUUGCGCCACUGCACUACAGCCUGGGCAACAGAGCGAGACUCCAUCUCCAAAAAAAAAAAAAAAAAGGAUUUAAUUAAUAUUAAUAUUGGGGUUCUAUGGGACAAUGUAAAAUGCCACUCAAAAUAGUAAAAUAGCUUCCUUCCUAUUUGCACUAUUAGUCUAAUGCAGAUACACUGUAAAUAUAGAAAAAAGGUAAUAGGCAUUACAUAUUAUAUUAUUAUAGAGUCCUUAUAUACUAUAAUAGAGAAUGAAUUUUUCUUAUUUUACAGUUUUAUACUAGCACAGCACAUAACCACACCCAUGGAUAUUAAGGUAUUUUUGUACAUGUAUAUGAUUUUCUCUGAUGUUCUGGAACUUGACAGUAUUUCAAAUAAAGCAAUGAAACCCCCCCUGGAAAGGACUGAUUGAUGGCUUUCUCAUCCAACCCGGCCACCCUUCCCACUUCACUCAACCACUGUCCUGUUUUCUGCUCCAGGCUGAAAAGUAACCUCAUUAUCUCUUAAAAGGUCAGCCCAAAGAAGAUUUGAACUCUGUCUGAAAACCUGGGAGUUCUAUUUCUUCACUGAGGCAGGAAGAGAACUGAUGAGAUAGAAGUUGCAGAUGACCAAGUUUACUGAAAAUGGGUGCUGUGAGUGAAAGAAAGAGGAAUGGAUUAAAUUUAAAAUGACACUACUUCAGCCAUCUCAGCAUCUGGGUUGGUGGACAAAACUAGAGGACUGGCGUUUCUGGGGGCACGUGUCAGGAAGCACUGAUCUGGUGACUUUUGGAGGAAAAAGCUGGCUUAUUCGGGUCCAGUCAUCAUGGUCCAUUUACUGUUUUGUAGUACCUCCAGAAUUGUCUCUCUUUUCUAUCUAUUUCUCCCAAAAAUAGGAUUUCUCCUCUUUACAAAUGUCACAGAAGGAAGCUCUAAAGAGUGAUUUCCAGCAUCCAUACAAGUGAAAAGUUCAGCUCCCAAGAGGAGCAGACAACGUCCGCAAAGCAAACCAAGCAAGACCCAUGGGGCCAAGGCAUUAAGUGGUUUCUCAGGGUGGUGGAAUGUGGCUGCUUCCCUGCUUCUCCCAGAGAAGCUUUAAAUGUGUAGGUAACUUCCCAGACCACCAGAAGGCACCAACAUGGGAAAAACAGAUCCAGUCACUGGCCCAGAGAGUCAGAAAUCAGCCCAUCCAGGUGACCCCGCUUAGGCUCCUGUUCAUGCACUUGUCAAAGGCCAGCCCAGCCCAAGGAGGGGGAAAGAAUUAGACAGAGGAUCAGCUUUUUAUUUUCAUGUACAAAGCACUUGCCCUCGGGUUAUAAAUGUUAUUGCAUUUGUGUAGCACUUUACUGCUGCCCUCAGCUUGCAAGCAUCACAGGAUCCCAGUGGCAGUACUUUCUUAACCCUUGAUCAAUAGCUUAUUUCUAUCGCCUUCAGUCCCAGCUGCCAAUCCGUUCUGUAAAAUGUGGGAGGCAGACUUCGCUGCUCUCCAGCUGUACAUGUUAUGAAUGUAAACGGUGCAAGUAACAUAUGUAUUAUACGUAUGUGUGUGUGUGUACUGAGUGGGGGACAUGAGAUUUUUGAACAAGGAGUAACAAAAAUGGGACCCUUGUUCUGGGAGACUCCCAUACAGCUGGGAGUUUUCUUUCUAGUUUCUCCUUUUCUCUCUUUCUCUCUCUCUGAAACGAUGUGCUUGGUAUUCUGUCAUGUGGCAGGAGAAAUUCUCUCUUAAGUUUCUGUGUUUUUAUUUGAUAUAUAUUUGGGGGAAGGGGUGAAAAGUGGACAGAAAGAUCUAAGUUCCAAGAAAGAAAGGGUCAUGUCCAUCUUAUUUAUCACCCCUGUAGUCCCAGCACCUACACUGAGCCUAGCACAGAACAGGUGCUCAGGAAGUAUUUGUUGACUAAAUGAAUGAAUUCAGGAAUGGGAGGAUAAGAGGGCCCCAGAGCAAUCCUCUGGAGCUGCCUGAGCAAAGAGGCAAAGGCCUUGUCUUGCUGGCAGCAAGGGGGACCACAAAAGGUUUAAUGGGCAUCUACUUUAUUUAUUUUAUUUUUAUUUUUUGAGAUGGAGUCUUGCUCUGUCUCCAGGCUGGAGUGCAGUGGCGUGAUUUCGGCUCACUGCAACCUCCACCUCCUGGUUUCAAGCGAUUCUCCUGCCUCAGCCUCCUUAGUAGCUGAGAUUACAAGCACGCACCACCACGCCCAGCUAAUUUUUGUACUUUUAGUAGAGACGGGGUUUCACCACGUUGGCCAGGCUGGUCUCAAUCUCCCCACCUCGUGAUCCGACCACCUCGGCCUCCCAAAGUGCUGGGAUUACAGGAGUGAGCCACUGCUCCCGGCCAGCAUUCUACUUUAUUUAAGGCUCACUCUAGGCACCUUGGGAACCACAGAGAAAUGAGAUCAUAAGCAUAACCAGCUACUACUGUUCCAGUUUACCAGGGAGCAGAGUCAGCCAAGAAACCACUUGGGGACAAAUUCCUCAUCUCACCUUCUUUCCCUCACCUCUGAAGCUAGUUUUAAGACAAACGCACCCUAGGAGACACUUUGAAGGAUGAAGGAGGAUCCCAAAGCUCCGUGACAUCCUCCAGCUCCAGGAAGAUGACUCCAUCUCGCGGUAAGGCAGCCGGGACUGCCCUUGUCUGAACCUAUGUCCUUGAGGCUCAGCCAAACCUCUCCUUCUGUGGCAGAGGGAUGUUUAGGUGACAUUCUUCUCCCUGCCACUCAGCAUCUUUUAAACAAUCUUCCUCCACCUUGGGAGAAUAUGCAUGAACUCACUGCAGUCUGGGACCACGGAAGCUGAAAAUUGUCUUUCUCCCUGGGAGGGGAAUUGGUCACAAAGGGAAAAACCGACCUCCCCUGAAAAAUAAGAAUCUGGGGCCAGGCGCGGUGGCUCACACCUGUAAUCCCAGCACUUUGGGAGGCCGAGGCGGGCGGAUCACCUGAGGUCAGGAGUUCAGGACUAGCUUAGCCAACAUGGUGAAACCCCAUCUCUACUAAAAAUACAAACUUAGCCAGGCAUGGUGGCACAUGCCUGUAAUCCCAGCUACUCAGGAGGCUGAGGCAGGAGAAUCGCUUGAACUCAGGAGGCAGAGGUUUCAGUGAGCCGAAAUCGCACCACUGCAUUCCAGCCUGGGCAACAGAACAAGACUUCGUCUCCAUAAAAAAAGAAUCUGGGAUGACUGCAGGUUCUUUCAGGCAAAGUUCUUUUGCUUGCCAUGGUAGAAAUCCACGUCAAGUGGAAUUAGUGAAGGAGGGACCUCGUUGGAAGUAUAUCAGGUACGUUGCAGGGCAGGGGCAGUUGGCUCAGAAGGACCGGGUACCAAACCCUGGAAGAUGGACUCCCCAGGAAUCCUCAGAAGCAGCAACACCCCACGUUUGGCUGCUGUCAGCUGCACUUAAGUUUCCUCAGCCUGCUCGCCCCAGCCUCGGGGGCCUGUGGUGGGAGGGGAGGAGGUUGGCACAGCCCCUUGGCUCUGCAGCACACUGCCUGUAGUGCACCAUGAAUUAAUAUUUUUAAUAAAUCCUGUAAUUAUCUUGUGAACAGAA
Molecule: long non-coding RNA, 7572 nt
Organism: Homo sapiens (human)
Lineage: Eukaryota; Metazoa; Chordata; Mammalia; Primates; Hominidae
Exons: 3
Source: RefSeq, a predicted model, not a curated record